CUACGGAGGGUGCAAGCGUUACUCGGAAUCACUGGGCGUAAAGCGCGCGCGGGCGGCUUGAUAAGUUGGAUGUGAAAGCCUACGGCUCAACCGUAGAACUGCAUCCAAAACUGUCAGGCUAGAGUGUGGGAGAGGAAGAUGGAAUUAGUUGUGUAGGGGUAAAAUCCGUAGAGAUAACUAGGAAUACCAAAAGCGAAGGCAAUCUUCUGGAACACUACUGACGCUCAGGCGCGAAGGCGUGGGGAGCAAACAGGAUUAGAAACCCCUGUAGUCC
Molecule: ribosomal RNA, 274 nt
Filed under: uncultured bacterium
Lineage: Bacteria
Description: partial 16S ribosomal RNA
Rfam family: Bacterial small subunit ribosomal RNA
Source: RNAcentral